This 465-nucleotide ribosomal RNA is filed under the name uncultured bacterium. RNAcentral describes it as "partial 16S ribosomal RNA". It matches the Rfam family "Bacterial small subunit ribosomal RNA", at positions 338 to 795 of the family's 1533-position model. The record is from RNAcentral.
CCUACGGGUGGCAGCAGUAGGGAAUCUUCCACAAUGGGCGAAAGCCUGAUGGAGCAACGCCGCGUGGGUGAAUAAGGGCUUCGGAUCGUAAAACCCUUUUGUUAGAGAAGAAAGUGCGUGAGAGUAACUGUUCACGUUUCGACGGUAUCUAACCAGAAAGCCACGGCUAACUACGUGCCAGCAGCCGCGGUAAUACGUAGGUGGCAAGCGUUAUCCGGAUUUAUGGGGCGUAAAGGGAACGCAGGCGGUCUCUUAAGUCUGAUGUGAAAGCCUUCGGCUUAACCGGAGUAGUGCAUUGGAUACUGGGAGACUUGAGUGAAGAAGAGGAGAGUGGAACUCCCUGUGUAGCAGUGAAAUGCGUAGAUAUAUGGAGGAACACCAGUGGCGAAAGCGGCUCUCUGGACUGUAACUGACGCUGAGGUUCGAAAGCGUGGGUAGCAAACAGGAUUAGAUACCCUAGUAGUC